RNAcentral lists this ribosomal RNA (397 nucleotides) under uncultured bacterium. Its description in RNAcentral is "partial 16S ribosomal RNA". It matches the Rfam family "Bacterial small subunit ribosomal RNA", at positions 360 to 774 of the family's 1533-position model. The record is from RNAcentral.
AAUCUUGCGCAAUGGUUGAAAGCCAGACGCAGCCAUGCCUCGUGAAUGAUUAUUGUCUUAGGUUUGUAAAUUUCUUUCACCGGGGACGAAAAUGACGGUACCCGGAGAAGAAGACCCUGCUUAAUUCGUGCCAGCAGCCGCGGUAAUACGAAGGGGGCUAGCGUUGCUCGGAAUUACUGGGCAUAAAGGGCGCGUAGGCGGACAUUUAAGUCAGGAGUGAAACCCCAGAACUCAACUCUGGAACUGCCUUUGAUACUGAGUGUCUUGAGUGUGAGAGAGGCAUGUGGAACUCCGAGUGUAGAGGUGAAAUUCGUAGAUAUUCGGAAGAACACCAGUGGCGAAGGCGACAUACUGGCUCAUUACUGACGCUGAGGCGCGAAAGCGUGGGGAGCAAACA